GAUGAACGCUGGCGGCGUGCCUAAUACAUGCAAGUCGAGCGAACGGACGAGAAGCUUGCUCUUCUGAUGUUAGCGGCGGACGGGUGAGUAACACGUGGAUCACCUACCUCUAAGUCUGGGAUAACUUCGGGAAACCGGAUCUACUACCGGCUAAUAUUUCGAACCGCAUGGUUCAAAAGUGAUAGACGGUCUUGCUGUCUCUUAUAGAUGGAUCCGCGCUGCAUUAGCUAGUUGGUAAGGUAACGGCCAACCAAGGCAACGAUGCAUAGCCGACCUGAGAGGGUGAUCGGCCACACUGGAACUGAGACACGGUCCAGACUCCUACGGGAGGCAGCAGUAGGGAAUCUUCCGCAAUGGGCGAAAGCCUGACGGAGCCACGCCGAGUGAGUGAUGAAGGUCUUCGGAUCGUAAAGCUCUUUUAUUAGGGAAGAACAGAUGUGUAAGUAACUGUGCACGUCUUGACGGUACCUAAUCAGAAAGCCACGGCUAACUACGUG
RNAcentral lists this ribosomal RNA (497 nucleotides) under uncultured bacterium. Its description in RNAcentral is "partial 16S ribosomal RNA". It matches the Rfam family "Bacterial small subunit ribosomal RNA", at positions 28 to 507 of the family's 1533-position model. The record is from RNAcentral.